Molecule: long non-coding RNA, 1398 nt
Organism: Nicotiana tabacum (common tobacco)
Lineage: Eukaryota; Viridiplantae; Streptophyta; Magnoliopsida; Solanales; Solanaceae
Source: RefSeq, a predicted model, not a curated record
CGUCUCUCUUCUAUUCUCUUCCUCUCUUUCUUCUUUUUCCUCCUCUCAUUUUUCCUCUGCCUCCCACCUCCCACCUCUGCCCCAUCGGGAAAUUUGAGCUUCUUCGCACUUUCACCAUCUCCCUUCUCCAAGCGGCCAGCAUCUCCACAAGCUUUGGAUUGUAGCGGCCACCACCAUCUUUACCUCGUCCAGCUAUAGAUUUCUUCAUAGCAAGAUGAAAUUUGAGCAUCGUAGAUGGAUGUAUGAUAGGAAUCAUUCAAAUAGUACGGGGUUGCGGGAUGAGUUUAUAGAAGGGGUUGCUAGCUUUAUUGCUAAGGCAAAGAAACUUGAUGAUUUUCUUAUCGAAAGGACGAUUAUGUACCCUUGUAUGAAAUGCAAGUGUCUUAAAUUAUUGGGGCCCGAUAUUGUUAUUGUUCAUCUAUAUAAGAAGGGGUUUAUGGAAAAUUAUUAUGUGUGAAUUGUUCAUGGGGAGAGUCAUGCUAGUGUAGAUGAAGUGCUUUUUCAGAACUCUUUUGGUAGUGAAUAAGGUAGUCCCAUAGCGGAGAAUAUUAAUGUUGAAAUUCAAGAUUUAAUGAAAUGAUCAAGGAUACCUUUGAGAUGUUCCCUGGGACUCAAUCCAAACCAAAUGAUGAGGCUGAGAGCUUCUUCAAACAGUUAAAGGAAGCUAGUUGUCUGCUUUAUGAAGGCGUAGUGUAUUCCAAGUUGUCUGUUGCAGUUAUAUAACUAAGUAUUAAAUCAGAUAAUUCUAUUUCUCAAGCGGGCAUGGAUUCUAUCAUUGGCCUUAUGAAUGAACUUAAUCCGACCAUGAUUGACUUGCCCAAAGAUUUUUACAUGGCAAAGAAAUUAGUUUCCAAGUUGGGUCUUUCAUCGGAAAGGAUUGAUUGUUGUGAGAAAUGUUGCAUGUUAUUCUAUAAAGAUGAUGCAGCUUUAGAAAAUUAUAAAUUUUGUAACCAGCCACGUUACAAAGAAGUCACAAAUACUAAACAAAAGAAGGUUCCAGUGAAGGCGAUGCACUACUUACGCAUUAUACCAAGGUUAAAGAGGUUGUAUGCAUCAAUGAAUUCUGCUCUUCAUAUGAGAUAGCAUUAUGAACAUAGAAGGCCAGAUGGUGUGCUAUGUCAUCCGUCAGAUGGAGAAGCAUGAAAAUAUUUUGAUAUGGUGCUCCCAGUCUAUGCCGUUGAACCGAGAAAUACUAGCAUGGGUCGAACCGCGUGCAUCAGAGACAUAUGAAGGAUAUCAAAGAAGAAUUGAGUAGUGGCAACAAACUCAACUCGAUUCUCAACCGACGCCCGUAUGUAUGACUUCAAUAUAGAUACAGGCAGCCGGUGGAGUAAAUAAAAGAAUAAAAUAUUUUAGUAAUUUUUUCAAUAUGACUUCAUUUUAAUAUUUUUUGCAGAA